AACGCGAAGAACCUUACCUACCCUUGACAUCCAACGAAUUUUGCAGAGAUGUAGAAGUGCCGAAAGGAACGUUGAGACAGGUGCUGCAUGGCUGUCGUCAGCUCGUGUUGUGAGAUGUUGGGUUAAGUCCCGUAACGAGCGCAACCCUUAUCCUUAGUUGCCAACAUGUAAUGGUGGGGACUCUAAGGAGACUGCUGGUGAUGAACCGGAGGAAGGCGGGGACGACGUCAAGUCAUCAUGGCCUUUAUGGGUAGGGCUACACACGUGCUACAAUGGGCAGUACAGAGGGCGGCCAACCCGCGAGGGGGAGCUAAUCCCGAAAAGCUGUUCGUAGUCCGGAUCGGAGUCUGCAACUCGACUCCGUGAAGUCGGAAUCGCUAGUAAUCGCGAAUCAGAAUGUCGCGGUGAAUACGUUCCCGGGCCUUGUACACACCGGAGUA
Molecule: ribosomal RNA, 440 nt
Filed under: uncultured bacterium
Lineage: Bacteria
Description: bacterial SSU rRNA
Rfam family: Bacterial small subunit ribosomal RNA
Source: RNAcentral